GACUCUAGUCUUUAAAAACUGGAUUGUGAGAGAGGAGAUGUGAAAUUAAGAGUGUGAAAUUGAGAGAGGAUGAAAAAUUUCGAAUGAUCAUGAACAAUUUAUAGAGAGAGCAGACAAAAGAUUUUUGGUUCCGGAGAACAUCAAUCGCCAAUCGAACUCCUUUAUUGCUGCAACGGAUUUCUCCAUAAUUGAUGUAACGGGUAUUUGACUUGGAGAAGGAAUGAGAAGAUGAGAAGAUUAAGAGUUGGAGAGAGAAGAAGAGAUUGAAAGAAGAUUUUUGUUGGAGAAUGGAGAAAUAAAGAAGACGCAAAAAAGAGGAGAAGAGUUGAACGACAAUAGGGUUUUCCAAACCUAUAAUUAUGGUUUUAUUUUUAUUUUAUAUUAAUGAUAAGUAUAUAUUAAUUAAUAUAACAAAUGACAAAAAAAAAAUUGGGCCCCUUCAGCCUUGGGCCCGGUGCGUGGGCACUGCCUGUACUGGGCCAGGGCCGGGCCUGGAUAACAACAUCAUUCUAAACCAUAAACCAAGCAAACUACCCUCUAAUCUCAUGCAACAUCAAACAUGAGUUAAUAUUAAUACAACUUAAGACACCCCACAUAAGUACAUGACAGCCUUCAAAAAUAAAAAUAUCUAAUAUAAUCUUGAAUACCAAACAUGUAAAUGUGUUGGACUAAAGAAGAGAUCAAUUUGGGUCCGCGCAUCUCUUUGUCGCUAAACCCUUGAAUGGGUAGUGGUACAUACGAGUGGGGUAUAGUUGAUUAGCAAUGUGUUUAGGUGGCGAUUAUUAGUAGUGAUGGAUUAGGGUGUUGGUUAGCCGAAAUGACUUGAACCCAUAAUGUUUGAUUGAUUGUUCCCCCCGACCUCCUCCUGAGAGAGAGAGAGAGAGAGAGAGAGAGAGAGAGAGAGAGAUCUAUANNNNNNNNNNNNNNNNNNNNGAGAGAGAGAGAGGCUCUAUCUAAUAUUGUAGGGCUAGCUAGAGCCCCUAGAGGAGAGGAUUAGGUCUCUUUGUCUCUAGGAGGGUUAGUGUUGCAAUCACAUUUCUUAAUCCUUCAUUACCAGUAACCUAAGAUGGAUCAACUACACUUUAUCUCUAUGCAGUAAUUACUAUGGACACCCAGCAGAAUUCUAAGGACCACCUGAGUAGCAGAGAGCCAAGUAGCUGCACUCCCUUUUGUCUGUAUCUGUUCUCUUCCUCUUUAAGUUGUAAUCUCUUCCCUAGUUAUGGGUAUGAAAUGAAUAUGAAAUCUUCUUAGUUAUCUGUGUUUCUUUUACUUUCGUUCUUCCCUUAAUCAAUGUUCUCAUCAAGUGGUAUCUAGAGCUUGGUUCCGAUGCGAGGCAUCUAAAAUCCCCGCCCUUCCCUCCCUAAUUCUGAGGGCAGGAUUCCAACCAUCCCACAACCCAACACCCAAACACCACCCCGCCAUGCUACCCCUACCCAUUCCUCCCCAUCAAACACUUACACCAUCUCCACAGAUUAGCUGCACACAUUUCAAGCCGAUGUGGACAGCCUACACGACCAAACUGAGGUUCUCCAAUCUCAGAACGAGGAACUCCACUCCUCCAUCGUGGCAAUAGCUUGUAGCCAGACUCUCAUGGCACAUCAGUUUGCGGUAAUCCAGAAUUUGUGGAUGAAUCAGGCGGUUCACAACGCCUCAACGGGUGCACCUACCACAGCUCCUUCCAUCGGGCCUCCUCCUGACGUUGGUUUCCUGAGCUACAACGCUGGUCACCAGUCAGCUACACCGACCUCACACCAGGCAGUGCCUUCCCAAAACAGCAUCGCGCUGCCACCACCAUCCCCGCAGCCCAGCUUUUCCCAGGGAGUUUGAAGCCCUUCUACCCCAGCCAUCUCUUUCGGCUCCUUUCCACCACAAACUCCCAAUAUUGACACCAUGUCCUCACCACAACCCACUCUCACACCACCACAACCACAACAACCGCACCCGCAUCAAUCCCAAACCGUACUCACACCACCACAUCCACAAUUCAUCCCGCCCCAACCUCAGUAUCACUAUUACCAUCCUCCACCACAAAACCACUAUCGCCCUCCAAAGAUUGAGCUCCCUCGCUUCAAUGGCGAUGAUGUUAUGGGUUGGCUAGCGAUGGCUGAGCUCUACCUCCGUAUGAACAAUGUUCUGGUUCAUGACAGAGUGCAAACCGUGGCAAGCUUAUUCGGCUAGGACCCGUCGAUUUGGAUGAAUGCGUAUGAACAACGUCAUCCCAAUCCAACAUGGGAAGAGUUCUCUGCAGCUCUGUUGAGUCGUUUCGGUGCGAGGACUGCCUCAGAUUUCAAAGGCCGCUUGGCGCACCUACAACAGACCGCUUCGGUUGACGAGUUCAUCAACUCCUUCACCAAACUCUCUUGCCGCACUCCGGAUUGGGCCGAAAGGGAUCUCAUUCCCAUCUUUAUCGAUAGUCUUCGACCCGAGCUCCGCCAUGAUGUCCGUGCUAUGAAUCUUGCAACCUUAGCAGAUGCUCAACGUCUAGCACGCUGCUAUGAAACUCGAAACAACGCCAUUCGCCCUCCCAAUCCCUUCCGCCACCGCCUUUUUGCUCAACCUAAUCCUGUUCGCUCCUCCUUCACCUCUCACACACCAACCAGUAAUUCUCCCAUUCAACCACUUACACCCACCACCACCACCACCACCACCACCACCACCCAUAUUAGACCACCACCAACAACUCCCCAAAAUACACAACCAUUCAGAUCGUUUCGCCAUUUUUCCACACCGGAACAACGCGAACGUCGAGCCCGAAACCUUUGCUUCAACUAUGAUGAACAGUAUUCAAAGAACCAUGUCUGUAAACAGACAUUCAUGGCCAUCUUGGAAAGACCGAGCCUAGAGGAGGAGCCACUUGAGACUGAGGAACCUCAGCACGAGGAUGAUACACAACCUCUGACCACCCUGCACCCGAACCCGGCGUUGCCGCUCUAGCCAUCACCACCACGAAACUCAGUGAGGUGAUGCGAAUCCAUGGCUCAAUCAACAGCCAACCCAUUUUGGUCUUCAUCGAUUGUGGGUCCGUCACCAAUUUUUUAAACCCGGCUGCGGCGCACCGGUUGGGCAUGCCGGUUUACCCACCGGCGACGUCGCGCUUCACAUCGGCCUCAGGCCACCUUGUCGUUCCCUCUGGUGUGGUCCACAAGGUGACCGUUGAGAUGCAAAGAUACCAAUUCACGAGCUCCUUUCUUCUGUUACCCGUGGCAGACUGUGAUCUGGAACUGGGGGCAGAGUUGUUGGACACACUUGGCUACAUUGACUGACACUUCAAAGAUAAAAUUAUGGCUUUUGUCUCAGGGGGACAACGCCAUUUACUACGAGGAAUCACCGCCAGGCGUACUUCGGAGGAUGACAAAUUGCUAUUUGACUGUUUUCCUCCAGAUCCAUUUGAGUCCCCACUUCCAAUGCACGCCUUGACUGAGUCAGACAUGGAUCCCACCUUAUCAUCCCUACUAUCAACUUUCACUGAUAUUUUUGAACCUCCUGUAGGCCUACCCCCACCCAGGCCCAUUGAUCAUCGAAUACAAUUACAGCCUAACUCUUUACCAGUGAAUGUAAGGCCUUACAAGUAUGGACACUCACAAAAGACAGAAAUUGAAGCCCAAGUCCAGGACAUGUUGAAUCUAGGCAUCAUCCAACACAGCCGCAGUCCGUUUUCCUCCCCAGUCCUUUUAGUGAGCAAAAAGGAUAACACUUGGUGGUUUUGUGUCGAUUACCGGGAGUUGAACGCCAUCACCAUCAAGGAUCGUUUCCCCAUUCCGGUGGUCGAUGAACUCCUCAAUGAACUUCAUGGCGCUCGUUAUUUCACGAAGCUUGAUCUCCGCUCCGGGUAUCAUCAAGUUCAGAUGCGUUCCGAGGAUGUCCCCAAGACGGCUUUCCGCACCCACGAUGGGCACUAUGAGUUUUUGGUCAUGCCAUUCGGCCUAUCCAAUGCGCCAGCUACAUUUCAAGCAUUGAUGAAUAUGCUCUUCAAGCCAUAUUUACGGAGGUGUGUCUUAAUUUUUUUUUAUGACAUCUUGAUUUAUAGCAAGGACUUUAUUUCCCAUAUGGAGCACUUACAACUCAUUUUGGAAGCCAUGCAGACCAAUGAGUUGAAAGCGAAGCUCUCUAAGUGCUCUUUUGCUCAACAAAGUGUUAAUUAUUUGGGUCAUGUCAUCUCCGGUGAGGGCGUUGCUAUGGACCCCGAGAAAGUGCAGUGCAUUGUGGAUUGGGCCAAGCCUCUCACUAUUAAAAGCCUACGGGGUUUUUUGGGCCUCACGGGGUAUUACCGGAAAUUUAUAAAGCAUUAUGGCAUGUUGGCCAAGCCUCUCACAUACAUGUUAAAGGCCCACAGUUUUCAUUGGAGUCCAAUAUCCGAGCAGGCCUUCUUGGCACUAAAACAUGCAAUUACAUCUGCCCCAGUCCUUGCACUACCUGAUUUCACAACUGCAUUCGACCUAGAAACUGAUGGGAUCGGUGCGGUGCUCUCCCAGCAGCGUCAUCUAUUGCCUUCCUCAGUAAGAUCUUUUCUCCCCAAAAUCAAGCUCUUUCUGUUUAUGACAAAGAGAUGCUAGCCAUUCUUUUUGCGGUGAACAAAUGGCGUCACUAUCUUUUGGGGAAUUUCUUCAACAUCAUCACCGAUCACCAACCUCUCAAACACCUGUUGGAGCAACGCAUCUCGACGCCUUCUCAACAUCGGUGGCUAUACAAAUUGAUGGGUUACAACUACAAAAUCACAUACCGACCUGGCACACUAAAUUCGGCGGCUGAUACUUUGUCCCGUCAAUUGGAGCUAUGCGCGAUCCAGCAUGUGUCCGCUCCGGUGUUUGACAGCCUAUCCACCAUUGAUCGGACCUGCCUCGACGAUCCCACCGCUUCAGCAAUCAUCACCGCUCUCAAAGCCAACAAUGAGACCAAGAAGCACUUUGAGUUGCGCCAAAACAGGUUGUUCUACAAGGGCAACAUCUAUGUGCCCCUCACCUCGGAUUGGCGCUGCAAGAUAUUGGAUGAGUUCCAUGCUUCUCUCGAGGGUGGUCAUUCCGGUUAUCUCUGAACUUACAUUCGCCUCGCCUUGAGCUUCUCUUGGCCGGGUAUGCGAAAGGAUGUGAAGCGCUUUGUGGCGGCAUGUGAUCAAUGUCAACGCCAAAACUCAGAAUCGGUGAAUCCACCGGGCUUGCUCCAACCACUUCCGGUCCCUGAUGAUGUGUGGGUUGAUAUAUCUCUUAAUUUUGUUGAGGGUUUGCCAAGUUCAGAUGGCAAGAACACCAUUCUUGUGGUGGUGGACCGUCUCUCUAAGUCCGGUCACUUCAUUGCCAUCUCUCACCCAUACACCGCUGCAGACAUUGCAGACAUCUUUGUGUGUGAGAUCUUUCGCCUCCAUGGUAUGCCGAGAUCCAUCACUAGUGAUCGUGAUCCAAUUUUUAUCAGCAAGUUUUGGGAAGCUUUUUUCAAGUUACAAGGUACCAGACUCUGCCGAAGCUCGGCCUAUCACCCCUAAUCCUAUGGCCAAACGGAGGUUGUGAAUCGUUGCUUGGAGCACUAUCUCCGUUGUUUCGUGGCGGACAAACCUACAAAGUGGGCGUCCCUCCUCCACUGGGCGGAGUGGUGGUACAACACCACUUAUCACUCCACCAUUCACAUGACGCCAUACCAGUCACUUUACGGCAGAACCCCUCCUUCGGUUCUCUCGUACACACCGGGAACCACCAAGGUUCACUCAGUGGACAUUGCCUUGCGGAACCGAGAUGAUCUCCUUAAGCUUCUCCGCUCCAACAUGGCUAUGGCACAGAACAAAAUGAAGCAGCAGACUGAUCAACAUCGCACUGAGCGGACCUUUGAGGAAGGCGACUGGGUUUAUCUCAAGUUACAUCCAUACCGGCAAAAGUCACUCGUCAAACGGCCAUCUCACAAGCUUGCUCCCAGGUUCUAUGGCCCAUUUCAGAUUGUUUCUAAGAUAGGUACAGUCACCUACAAAUUGCGCCUUCCUCCACGCUCCAAGCUGCAUCCGAUUUUCCAUGUGUCACUGUUGAAGAAGAAACUUGGUGCCAACAUCCCUGUUCAAGUGACUCUACCCCCUACUGAUGACACUGGAUCCCUCCAAGGUCCUCGACAUGGCAGUGGUAAGGAAGAAAAAUCGCUCUAUGACACAAUGGCUGGUGUAGUGGGAGGGCCUUCUUGAAUCAGAUGCUACAUGGGAAGAUGCCUAUACCAUCAUGAACCACUUUCCACAGUUUCGGGCUUGAGGACAAGCUCCCUCUUAGGGGGGAGACCUUGUUGCAAUCACAUUUCUUAAUCCUUCAUUACCAGUAACCCAAGAUGGAUCAACUACACUUUGUCUCUAUGCAGUAAUUACUAUGGACACCCAGCAAAAUUCUAAGGACCACCUGAGUAGCAUAGAGCCAAGUAGCUGCACUCCUUUUUGUCUGUAUCUGUUCUCUUCCUCUUUAAGUUGUAAUCUCUUCCCCAGUUAUAGGUAUGAAAUGAAUAUGAAAUCUUCU
This 6476-nucleotide long non-coding RNA is filed under the name Fragaria vesca (wild strawberry). Its description in RNAcentral is "long non-coding RNA (FVES_LNC005597)". The record is from RNAcentral. Lineage: Eukaryota; Viridiplantae; Streptophyta; Magnoliopsida; Rosales; Rosaceae.